Molecule: ribosomal RNA, 253 nt
Filed under: uncultured bacterium
Lineage: Bacteria
Description: partial 16S ribosomal RNA
Rfam family: Bacterial small subunit ribosomal RNA
Source: RNAcentral
UACGUAGGGAGCAAGCGUUGUCCGGAUUUACUGGGUGUAAAGGGUGCGUAGGCGGCCUUGCAAGUCAGAAGUGAAAUCCAUGGGCUUAACCCGUGAACUGCUUUUGAAACUGUAGGGCUUGAGUGAAGUAGAGGCAGGCGGAAUGUGUAGUGUAGCGGUGAAAUGCAUAGAUAUUACACAGAACACCGAUUGCGAAGGCAGCUUGCUAGGCCGGAUCUGACACUGAUGCACGAAAGCGUGGGGAUCGAACAGG